GACCGCUCCGGUGGCCUAGUGGUUAGAGCGUCCGCUUUGGAUUCGGGAGGUCGUGGGUUCGAUCCCUAGUUGAGUCA
Non-coding RNA from Potamilus streckersoni, 77 nucleotides. Lineage: Eukaryota; Metazoa; Mollusca; Bivalvia; Unionida; Unionidae. The record is from the annotation of a GenBank genome assembly.